AACGAACGCUGGCGGCAGGCCUAAUACAUGCAAGUCGAGCGCUCUAGCAAUAGAGAGCGGCGCACGGGUGCGUAACGCGUGGGAAUGUACCUCUAGGUGCGGAACAACGUCGGGAAACUGACGCUAAUACCGCAUAAUAUCUCCGGAUCAAAGAUUUAUCGCCUAGGGAUCAGCCCGCGUUGGAUUAGCUAGUUGGUGAGGUAAUGGCUCACCAAGGCGACGAUCCAUAGCUGGUCUGAGAGGAUGAUCAGCCACACUGGAACUGAGACACGGUUCAGACUCCUACGGGAGGCAGCAGUGGGGAAUAUUGGACAAUGGGCGAAAGCCUGAUCCAGCCACGCCGCGUGGGUGAUGAAGGCCUCGGUUGUAAGACCUCGUCGGAGGGACGGAAGUCAAUGACGGUACCGUCCCAACGAAA
This 418-nucleotide ribosomal RNA is filed under the name uncultured bacterium. RNAcentral describes it as "bacterial SSU rRNA". It matches the Rfam family "Bacterial small subunit ribosomal RNA", at positions 29 to 490 of the family's 1533-position model. The record is from RNAcentral.